RNAcentral lists this long non-coding RNA (532 nucleotides) under Nicotiana benthamiana. RNAcentral's name for it is "long non-coding RNA (NBEN_LNC005330)". Lineage: Eukaryota; Viridiplantae; Streptophyta; Magnoliopsida; Solanales; Solanaceae. The record is from RNAcentral.
GAAAAUCAAAAGAAAGACUAAAAGAGAACUCUAAGAUUUUUGUACGCCAAUGAACUGAAAAUUGGAAGGAAGAACUUGAAAAAUCAGAAAACCCUAGCACUCUUUUUUUCCCCAAUUUUCUCCCCCAUUUCUGUCCGAAAUUCCCCAAAUAUAUAGCCCCACUCGACUCAUCUUCUCCUCUUUUCUAAGUAACGCCCAAACUGUUUAGACCCCAAAAAAAAAUCCAAAAAUUCCUUUUAUAAAAAAAAUUCAAAAAAUAAAGGUCUUGGAUCAAGACUUCGAUCCAAUGACUCCUAUUUUACAAUUUUUUAUUCUAAGACCUUGGAUCUUCUUAAAAAAACAAAAAAGAAAGGAAAAAUGUGUGAAUCUAAUUGCUAUGAUGAGGCUUGUACGAUUUGAGUGACGUGGAUGAAGGAGAGAAGAGAGGAGGGGGACCAUGGGCACGUCAUUCCGGUGAGGUCGUGGUGGUUCGGGCGAUGCAGAGCUAAAGAGAAGGGGUGAGCCAUUUGAUUAGAGAGACUACGUUUAGGGU